CUUAGGGCUCCCUGACGGUCUAUCUGGGUUUAAUACAAUUGCCCCAGCCUGACACUUAUUGUACUUGAUAGAUCCUGCUGGGCGCCACGUGCUCCUUGUAAGACAAUCGCUGGGAAUGCUGGGAACCACGCUGAUCAAGGACAAGGCUGUGCAUUCCCGCACACCAGUUAACCACCAGUUAACGAGGGAGCCCAAGGCCACAGGCGGGUGAGCGCUGCUCUUAAACACCGGAGGACUCGCAAGGGAUUUCAGAGAUUCGCUGAACUCUCUAAGCUAUUGAUCUGAUCACAGACACCACAUCCAAGGAAAGUCACAAGCCGCUGAAUACCACUUCUGUUGAGUUUCCUGCACUGAACAGGAGAAAGGAGACUUUGUUAUUCUGGCCUCCCCGUGGGUACUGACCUUAAAGGAGUGGACAUCCUCUUUAGCCCGAUCUAGUCACAGAGAAAACUUCUGGGUCAGAAACGUCUGGGAAACUGUGCACUCCUCAGCUCUCCGAAGAACGUGUCGGCUUUUCUCAUCCGUAAUGGUCAUCCCCAGCUGCAGGGAGAAGUUAAUGAGGUGUGCGGGACAGUGAUGGGAAAGGGGCCGCCUUUGCUUCACUCCUGACAUCACUGCACAGUGAGGGCCACAAAGGGGAACUCGCCACAGGGGAGAGACAUGGACCAGAAAACAAUAUCCACUUCAUUAGCCACUGAUUCUGAGUGUGUGCAAGGGGGCCAAGGUCCAGCCUACAGACUGUGACAGACAUUCCUACAACACGGCGAGGUCUGGGCGAAGGGGGAUGGAGAGAAUCCUCACCGCCUCUACCCAGUGGCAUUUUGGUGACAUUUUUCUUUUAUUCUUUUUUUUUCUCCUUCCCUCCUUCUC
Long non-coding RNA from Artibeus jamaicensis (Jamaican fruit-eating bat), 870 nucleotides. RefSeq lists it as uncharacterized. The record is from RefSeq and is a predicted model, not a curated record. The transcript has 3 exons. Lineage: Eukaryota; Metazoa; Chordata; Mammalia; Chiroptera; Phyllostomidae.